This 472-nucleotide ribosomal RNA is filed under the name uncultured bacterium. RNAcentral's name for it is "bacterial SSU rRNA". It matches the Rfam family "Bacterial small subunit ribosomal RNA", at positions 329 to 793 of the family's 1533-position model. The record is from RNAcentral.
CUACGCACUCCUACGGGAUGCAGCAGUGGGGAAUAUUGCACAAUGGGCGCAAGCCUGAUGCAGCCAUGCCGCGUGUAUGAAGAAGGCCUUCGGGUUGUAAAGUACUUUCAGCAGUGAGGAAGGUGGGUAUGUUAAUAGCAUACUCAUUUGACGUUAGCUGCAGAAGAAGCACCGGCUAACUCCGUGCCAGCAGCCGCGGUAAUACGGAGGGUGCGAGCGUUAAUCGGAAUUACUGGGCGUAAAGCGCAUGCAGGUGGUUUGUUAAGUCAGAUGUGAAAGCCCGGGGCUCAACCUCGGAAUUGCAUUUGAAACUGGCAAACUAGAGUACUGUAGAGGGGGGUAGAAUUUCAGGUGUAGCGGUGAAAUGCGUAGAGAUCUGAAGGAAUACCGGUGGCGAAGGCGGCCCCCUGGACAGAUACUGACACUCAGAUGCGAAAGCGUGGGGAGCAAACAGGAUUAGAUACCCCGGUAG